Scatophagus argus is the source of this 585-nucleotide long non-coding RNA. RefSeq lists it as uncharacterized. The transcript has 2 exons. The record is from RefSeq and is a predicted model, not a curated record. NCBI's taxonomy places the organism in Eukaryota, Metazoa, Chordata, Actinopteri, Scatophagidae.
AGGCUACGGACAGCUGCAACAGGUGGGAUUCUUUAGACAAAUGUUCGGUUCAUCGUAUAUCGGUUGUAAUCCUAAUGCUUAUCGGUGAUUGUACGACUAGAUCAAAUGCCAACUACUGCGAGGGUAGACGCCGUUUGGUCGCACGUUGUGUCGGCUGUACAAGAGGAAUUGGCCAGGUUCACCAGUUGUAGUGACAAACUGAUGGCGAGCUACUGAACUGCCUGGAGUUGAAGAAGUUUUAGCCAGCUUUUCCUGAUGGUCUGGUAGGAAACUGCUGUAGCCCAGUUCCCCCACCUUCUCACUCACUCACACACACACAUGCACAAUUGCCUAUGGAUCAUUACACUUAAAGGACAUUACCGUGCGUUGGACUGUUCUGUGUGUUGCCAAUCUGGUACCCAGGUUGGUGGGUGCUACUUUCUGGGCUGUGUUAUUUUCCUUAGUUGAUUUCUCUAUUAUUUUUGUUGCAACUAAACUGUUAAAGUGCACUUAGCAAGCUAAAAGCUUUCAGACUGUUAAUAUCAAGGGUUAUUGAUUGUUCUUUGUUUGUCAUUUAUUGUUAAUAUAAGGCGCCAAACAAAUCUA